GCCCCGGUGGACAAAUCUGGCAAAGUCGCUUCUCUCAAAAGGAAGAGUUCUGCGAGUUCGACUCUCGCCCGGGGUACCA
RNAcentral lists this transfer RNA (79 nucleotides) under bacterium. RNAcentral's name for it is "tRNA-Leu". It matches the Rfam family "tRNA". Rfam says of the family: Transfer RNA (tRNA) molecules are approximately 80 nucleotides in length. Their secondary structure includes four short double-helical elements and three loops (D, anti-codon, and T loops). The record is from RNAcentral.